CCCGAAACUAGACGAGCUACUCCAAGACAGCCUAUUACAGGGCAAACCCGUCUCUGUGGCAAAAGAGUGGGAAGAACUUUGAGUAGAGGUGACAGACCUACCGAGCCUAGUUAUAGCUGGUUGCCUAAGAAAUGGAUAGAAGUUCAGCCCCCCGUAUUUCCCGACCCAACCCAGUCUUCACUCAAGCUGGAUACAGGCCAAGCCGGGGGAGUUAGUCGAAGGAGGUACAGCUCCUUUGAAACAAGACACAACUUUACCAGGAGGAUAAAGAUCACAAUUAUUAAGGAAAAGUGCUCCAGUGGGCCUAAAAGCAGCCACCUCGAUAGAAAGCGUUAAAGCUCAGACACAUCCACCAACCCCAUAUACUGAUUAAUCAUCUAAACCCCCUAAUCCUACUAAGCCCUCUCAUGCAACCAUGAGAGAGACCCUGCUAAUAUGAGUAAUAAGAAAACCCUAGCUUUUCUCCUUGCACAAGUGUACAUCGGAACGGACCCCCCACCGACCCUUAAUCGGCCCCAAUCAAAGAGGGUAUUGAACAAUAAACCAAAAACUAGAAAAACAUUCAAAUACCGACCGUUAACCCCACACUGGAGUGCCCACAAGGAAAGACUAAGAGAGAAAAAAGGAACUCGGCAAACACAAGCCUCGCCUGUUUACCAAAAACAUCGCCUCUUGCAAAACAAAAAAUAAGAGGUCCCGCCUGCCCUGUGACUAUAUGUUUAACGGCCGCGGUAUUUUGACCGUGCGAAGGUAGCGCAAUCACUUGUCUUUUAAAUGAAGACCCGUAUGAAUGGCAUAACGAGGGCUUAGCUGUCUCUUUUCUCUAAGUCAAUGAAAUUGAUCUCCCCGUGCAGAAGCGGGGAUACUAACAUAAGACGAGAAGACCCUAUGGAGCUUUAGACACAAAGCAGCCCAAAUUAAAUACCCUGAAAUCAAACAGAAAAAUCGAAUGAACCCCUGCUCAAAUGUCUUUGGUUGGGGCGACCAUGGGGAAAAACCAAACCCCCACGUGGAACGGAAGAACUUCUUCUACAACCAAGAGCCGCCACUCUAAGUGACAGAAUCUCUGACCAUUAAUGAUCCGGUAUUACCGAUCAACGAACCGAGUUACCCUAGGGAUAACAGCGCAAUCCC
RNAcentral lists this ribosomal RNA (1134 nucleotides) under Centroberyx lineatus (swallow-tail). Its description in RNAcentral is "partial 16S ribosomal RNA". It matches the Rfam family "Bacterial large subunit ribosomal RNA", at positions 714 to 2489 of the family's 2925-position model. Lineage: Eukaryota; Metazoa; Chordata; Actinopteri; Beryciformes; Berycidae. The record is from RNAcentral.